This 253-nucleotide ribosomal RNA is filed under the name uncultured bacterium. RNAcentral describes it as "partial 16S ribosomal RNA". It matches the Rfam family "Bacterial small subunit ribosomal RNA", at positions 524 to 776 of the family's 1533-position model. The record is from RNAcentral.
GACAGAGGGUGCAAACGUUGUUCGGAAUUACUGGGCGUAAAGCGCGUGUAGGCGGCAGGGCAUGUCGGAUGUGAAAUCCCAUGGCUCAACCAUGGAAGUGCACCCGAAACUGCCCAGCUAGAGUCUCGGAGAGGAAGGCGGAAUGCUUGGUGUAGAGGUGAAAUUCGUAGAUAUCAAGCAGAACACCGGUGGCGAAGGCGGCCUUCUGGACGAUGACUGACGCUGAGACGCGAAAGCGUGGGGAGCAAACAGG